AGGGUUUGAUCCUGGCUCAGAACGAACGCUGGCGGCAGGCCCCAUACAUGCAAGUCGAACGCCCCUUCGGGGGAGUGGCAGACGGGUGAGUAACACGUGGGAACCUACCCAGAGGUUCGGAAUAACUCAGGGAAACUUGAGCUAAUACCGGAUAAGCCUUGCGAGGGAAAGAUUCAUCGCCUUUGGAUGGGCCCGCGGCAGAUUAGUUUGUUGGUGGGGUAAUGGCCUACCAAGACUACGAUCUGUAGCUGGUUUGAGAGGAUGAUCAGCCACACUGGGACUGAGACACGGCCCAGACUCCUACGGGAGGCAGCAGUAGGGAAUCUUGCACAAUGGGCGAAAGCCUGAUGCAGCCAUGCCGCGUGAGUGAAGAAGGCUCUAGGGUUGUAAAACUCUUUCAGCGGGGAAGAUAAUGACGGUACCCGCAGAAGAAGCCCCGGCUAACUCCGUGCCAGCAGCCGCGGUAAUAC
RNAcentral lists this ribosomal RNA (470 nucleotides) under uncultured bacterium. Its description in RNAcentral is "bacterial SSU rRNA". It matches the Rfam family "Bacterial small subunit ribosomal RNA", at positions 8 to 526 of the family's 1533-position model. The record is from RNAcentral.